AGAGCGAACGCUGGCGGCAGGCCUAACACAUGCAAGUCGAGCGCCCAGCAAUGGGAGCGGCAGACGGGAUAGUAACACGUGGGAACGUACCUUUCAGUUCGGAACAACCCAGGGAAACUUGGGCUAAUACCGAAUACGCCCGUAAGGGGAAAGAUUUAUCGCUGAAAGAUCGGCCCGCGUCUGAUUAGCUAGUUGGUGGGGUAAUGGCCCACCAAGGCGACGAUCAGUAGCUGGUCUGAGAGGAUGAUCAGCAUCACUGGGACUGAGACACGGCCCAGACUCCUACGGGAGGCAGCAGUGGGGAAUAUUGGACAAUGGGCGCAAGCCUGAUCCAGCCAUGCCGCGUGGAUGAUGAAGGCCCUAGGGUUGUAAAGUCCUUUCGGCGGGGAAGAUAAUGACGGUACCGCAGAAGAAGCCCCGGCUAACUUCGUGCCAGCAGCCGC
RNAcentral lists this ribosomal RNA (443 nucleotides) under uncultured bacterium. Its description in RNAcentral is "SSU rRNA". It matches the Rfam family "Bacterial small subunit ribosomal RNA", at positions 26 to 518 of the family's 1533-position model. The record is from RNAcentral.